Molecule: long non-coding RNA, 229 nt
Filed under: Elaeis guineensis (African oil palm)
Lineage: Eukaryota; Viridiplantae; Streptophyta; Magnoliopsida; Arecales; Arecaceae
Description: long non-coding RNA (EGUI_LNC079015)
Source: RNAcentral
ACUAUUUCAUUGAUCGAGCCGUUGAGAUAGAUCAUUGUCUGGGAAGACAGUCGAAAGUUGCCGACAAUCAGCCAGUUUGCUGAUUGACAGUCAGCUUCCAUGAUGCCGAUGAUAUGUCGGGGUAAUAAACUCAAUAUAGUGUAGACGUUGUAGUCAAACCAAUAACUCUUUUAGCGGUCCAUCAUCUAUUGCCGACACAUAGUCGGGAUUCGAUCGUGAAUUGGGGGAG